Molecule: ribosomal RNA, 492 nt
Filed under: uncultured bacterium
Lineage: Bacteria
Description: partial 16S ribosomal RNA
Rfam family: Bacterial small subunit ribosomal RNA
Source: RNAcentral
AGUGAACGCUGGCGGUAGGCCUAACACAUGCAAGUCGAACGGCAGCACAGUAAGAGCUUGCUCUUACGGGUGGCGAGUGGCGGACGGGUGAGGAAUACAUCGGAAUCUACUUUUUCGUGGGGGAUAACGUAGGGAAACUUACGCUAAUACCGCAUACGACCUACGGGUGAAAGCAGGGGAUCUUCGGACCUUGCGCGAUUGAAUGAGCCGAUGUCGGAUUAGCUAGUUGGCGGGGUAAAGGCCCACCAAGGCGACGAUACGUAGCUGGUCUGAGAGGAUGAUCAGCCACAGUGGAACUGAGACACGGUCCAGACUCCUACGGGAGGCAGCAGUGGGGAAUAUUGGACAAUGGGCGCAAGCCUGAUCCAGCCAUACCGCGUGGGUGAAGAAGGCCUUCGGGUUGUAAAGCCCUUUUGUUGGGGAAGAAAAGCAGCAGGUUAAUACCCCGCUGUUCUGACGGUACCCAAAGAAUAAGCACCGGCUAACUUCGUG